This 1638-nucleotide ribosomal RNA is filed under the name human oral metagenome. RNAcentral's name for it is "bacterial LSU rRNA". It matches the Rfam family "Bacterial large subunit ribosomal RNA", at positions 1265 to 2925 of the family's 2925-position model. The record is from RNAcentral.
AAGGAAGCGUGGAGUUCUGAGAAGAGAGAAUGCCGGAAUGAGUAGCGAGAAUGAUGUGAGAAUCAUCAUGGCCGAAUAUCCAAGGAUUCCAGGGUAAAGCUGAUCUGCCCUGGGUAAGUCGGGACCUAAGGCGAGGGAGAGAUCCGUAGUCGAUGGACAGCAGGUUCAUAUUCCUGCACCUGACAUGAUCAGAACUGUGGGGACACAGGAACAAAACCGGACCCGGGAGAGCAAAGACCGGGCGAAGCGAAGUUAGGAGUGCGGUAGGCAAAUCCGCCGCACAAUCCGAAAGCGUGAUAGGGAGCGAAAUAUAAGUAGCGAAGCCGGUGGAGGGACUGUCGAGAAAAGCCGCUAUUGUAUCAUGUCAGCCCGUACCGCAAACCGACACAGGUGGAUGAGGAGAGAAUCCUAAGGCCGGCGGGAGAAGCAUUGUUAAGGAACUCGGCAAAAUGACCCCGUAACUUCGGGAGAAGGGGUGCUGCAGAGAUGCAGCCGCAGAGAAAAGGCUCAAGCAACUGUUUAGCAAAAACACAGGUCUAUGCGAAACCGUAAGGUGAGGUAUAUGGGCUGACGCCUGCCCGGUGCUGGAAGGUUAAGAGGAGAGGUUAGCGCAAGCGAAGCUUUGAAUUUAAGCCCCAGUAAACGGCGGCCGUAACUAUAACGGUCCUAAGGUAGCGAAAUUCCUUGUCGGGUAAGUUCCGACCCGCACGAAAGGCGUAAUGAUUUGAGCGCUGUCUCAACAAUGCACCCGGUGAAAUUGAAGUACCAGUGAAGAUGCUGGUGACCUGCGCCAGGACGGAAAGACCCCAUGGAGCUUUACUCCAGCUUGAUACCGGGAUUCGGUGUUACUCGUACAGGAUAGGUGGGAGGCUAAGAAGGAAGGACGCCAGUCUUUCCGGAGCCGCUGUUGGGAUACCACCCCUGUGGCACUGGAUUUCUAACCUACAUCCGUAAUCCGGAUGGGGGACAAUGUCAGGUGGGGAGUUUGACUGGGGCGGUCGCCUCCGAAAGUGUAUCGGAGGCGCUCAAAGGUUCCCUCAGAAUGGUUGGAAACCAUUCGAAGAGCGCAAAGGCAGAAGGGAGCUUGACUGCGACACCGACGGGUGGAGCAGGUACGAAAGUAGGACUUAGUGAUCCGGUGGUAUAAAGUGGGAUUGCCAUCGCUCAACGGAUAAAAGCUACCCUGGGGAUAACAGGCUUAUCACUCCCAAGAGUUCACAUCGACGGAGUGGUUUGGCACCUCGAUGUCGGCUCAUCGCAUCCUGGGGCUGAAGUCGGUCCCAAGGGUUGGGCUGUUCGCCCAUUAAAGCGGUACGCGAGCUGGGUUCAGAACGUCGUGAGACAGUUCGGUCCCUAUCCGGCGCGGGCGUAAGAUAUCUGAGAGGAGCUGUCCUUAGUACGAGAGGACCGGGAUGGACUGACCACUGGUGCACCGGUUGGGGAGCAACCCCAUGGCCGGGUAGCCAAGUCGGGACGGGAUAAACGCUGAAGGCAUCUAAGCGUGAAGCCCCCCUCAAGAUGGGAUAUCUCAUGCGAAAGCGGUAAGACCCCUUGAAGACGACAAGGUAGAUAGGAGAGAGGUGUAAGCGUGGCGACACGUUCAGCUGACUCUUACUAAUCGGUCGAGGGUUUAACCAA